GAUCGAUUGAAGGGUAUGAAUAUGAUGGGUUUUGUGAGUUUUUUCAAGCGGGAAAGGGAGGCGCGUGGGGUUCAAAUGAGGACGGGCGUGGGUUGAUGGUGGCAGAGGAGGGCGGCGUUGUUGACGGAUCGAUUGAAGGGUAUGAAUAUGAUGGGGUGGACGGUGAGAGUCUGGCGAGGUUUCUAGGAGAAGGAUUUAUUGACUGACCAUUGAGUAAACGUGAAUACUCAAUUAUUUAUUUUUAUUAGGGUUUUUGGUUGGUGGUGGCGGUGGUGGUUAAGGUCAAAUGUGAAGUUGUUAGUAACACAAAAGAAUACAGUAAUAUACACAAAAACGAUGUAAUAGAGCAAAGCAGAAGCAAGCAGCUGCCCUUUUUGUGGAAUGCUAAACCCAAAUGGUUUCCUCUCUCUCUCUUGCAUCUUGCAGCUAGCUUUUGUAAUCACUAAUUAGUAAUUAGUGCUUUUAAUCCUUUCAUAAUUUAACACUUCAAUUAUGGGUAUGAAAAAAAAAAAAAAAAAAAAAAAAA
RNAcentral lists this unclassified non-coding RNA (526 nucleotides) under Hevea brasiliensis (rubber tree). The record is from RNAcentral. Lineage: Eukaryota; Viridiplantae; Streptophyta; Magnoliopsida; Malpighiales; Euphorbiaceae.